Molecule: ribosomal RNA, 267 nt
Filed under: uncultured Streptococcus sp.
Lineage: Bacteria; Bacillati; Bacillota; Bacilli; Lactobacillales; Streptococcaceae
Description: partial 16S ribosomal RNA
Rfam family: Bacterial small subunit ribosomal RNA
Source: RNAcentral
UUGUCCAUCAUUCAGUUGGGCACUCUAGCGAGACUGCCGGUAAUAAACCGGAGGAAGGUGGGGAUGACGUCAAAUCAUCAUGCCCCUUAUGACCUGGGCUACACACGUGCUACAAUGGUUGGUACAACGAGUUGCGAGUCGGUGACGGCGAGCUAAUCUCUUAAAGCCAAUCUCAGUUCGGAUUGUAGGCUGCAACUCGCCUACAUGAAGUCGGAAUCGCUAGUAAUCGCGGAUCAGCACGCCGCGGUGAAUACGUUCCCGGGCCUU